This 468-nucleotide ribosomal RNA is filed under the name uncultured bacterium. Its description in RNAcentral is "partial 16S ribosomal RNA". It matches the Rfam family "Bacterial small subunit ribosomal RNA", at positions 28 to 507 of the family's 1533-position model. The record is from RNAcentral.
GACGAACGCUGGCGGCGUGCUUAACACAUGCAAGUCGAACGGAAAGGCCCUGCUCUUGUGGGGUGCUCGAGUGGCGAACGGGUGAGUAACACGUGAGUAACCUGCCCUUGACUUUGGGAUAACUUCAGGAAACUGGGGCUAAUACCGGAUAGGAGCUCCUGCUGCAUGGUGGGGGUUGGAAAGUUUCGGCGGUUGGGGAUGGACUCGCGGCUUAUCAGCUUGUUGGUGGGGUAGUGGCUUACCAAGGCUUUGACGGGUAGCCGGCCUGGGAGGGUGACCGGCCACAUUGGGACUGAGAUACGGCCCAGACUCCUACGGGAGGCAGCAGUGGGGAAUAUGGCACAAUGGGCGGAAGCCUGAUACAGCAACGCCGCGUGCGGGAUGACGGCCUUCGGGUUGUAAACCGCUUUCGCCUGUGACGAAGCGUGAGUGACGGUAAUGAGUAAAGAAGCACCGGCUAACUACGUG